CCUACGGGCGGCAGCAGUGAGGAAUAUUGGUCAAUGGGCGCAAGCCUGAACCAGCCAAGUCGCGUGAGGGAUGACGGUCCUAUGGAUUGUAAACCUCUUUUGUCGGGGAGCAAGGCCCGCCACGUGUGGCGGGAAGGAGAGUACCCGAAGAAAAAGCAUCGGCUAACUCCGUGCCAGCAGCCGCGGUAAUACGGAGGAUGCGAGCGUUAUCCGGAUUUAUUGGGUUUAAAGGGUGCGUAGGCGGAAGGUUAAGUCAGCGGUCAAAUGUCGGUGCUCAACACCGGCCUGCCGUUGAAACUGGUCGUCUUGAGUGAGCGAGAAGUAUGCGGAAUGCGUGGUGUAGCGGUGAAAUGCAUAGAUAUCACGAAGAACUCCGAUUGCGAAGGCAGCAUACCGGCGCUCAACUGACGCUGAGGCACGAAAGCGUGGGGAUCGAACAGGAUUAGAUACCCCUGUAGUC
Molecule: ribosomal RNA, 460 nt
Filed under: uncultured bacterium
Lineage: Bacteria
Description: partial 16S ribosomal RNA
Rfam family: Bacterial small subunit ribosomal RNA
Source: RNAcentral